This 68-nucleotide transfer RNA is filed under the name Tetraponera rufonigra. Its description in RNAcentral is "tRNA-Met". Lineage: Eukaryota; Metazoa; Arthropoda; Insecta; Hymenoptera; Formicidae. The record is from RNAcentral.
AAGUAAGUAAGCUAAACACCCAAGCUCUUAGGUUCAUACCCUAAAUAUAGAUUUUAAUCUCUUACUUA